GGGAAUGUGGCUUAGUGGUAGAGCGCUUGCCUAGCAUGCAUGAAGCCCCCUGGGUUCGAUUCCUCAGUACCA
This 72-nucleotide transfer RNA is filed under the name Dipodomys ordii (Ord's kangaroo rat). It matches the Rfam family "tRNA". From Rfam's summary of the family: Transfer RNA (tRNA) molecules are approximately 80 nucleotides in length. The record is from Rfam by way of RNAcentral. Lineage: Eukaryota; Metazoa; Chordata; Mammalia; Rodentia; Heteromyidae.